RNAcentral lists this ribosomal RNA (378 nucleotides) under uncultured euryarchaeote. RNAcentral describes it as "bacterial SSU rRNA". It matches the Rfam family "Archaeal small subunit ribosomal RNA", at positions 347 to 725 of the family's 1478-position model. The record is from RNAcentral. Lineage: Archaea; Methanobacteriati; Methanobacteriota.
ACUUUACAAUGCGGGAAACCGCGAUAAGGGGACACUGAGUGCCAGCAUAUUAUGUUGGCUGUCCACAUGUAUAAAAAUCAUGUGUUAGCAAGGGCCGGGCAAGACCGGUGCCAGCCGCCGCGGUAACACCGGCGGCCCGAGUGGUGAUCACUUUUAUUGGGUCUAAAGGGUCCGUAGCCGGUUUAAUCAGUCUUCUGGGAAAUCUGACAGCUCAACUGUUAGGCUUUCAGGGGAUACUGUUAGACUUGGGACCGGGAGAGGUAAGAGGUACUACAGGGGUAGGAGUGAAAUCUUGUAAUCCCUGUGGGACCACCAGUGGCGAAGGCGUCUUACCAGAACGGGUCCGACGGUGAGGGACGAAAGCUGGGGGCACGAACC